This 1372-nucleotide ribosomal RNA is filed under the name uncultured bacterium. RNAcentral's name for it is "bacterial SSU rRNA". It matches the Rfam family "Bacterial small subunit ribosomal RNA", at positions 28 to 1381 of the family's 1533-position model. The record is from RNAcentral.
GAUGAACGCUGGCGGCGUGCCUAAUACAUGCAAGUCGAGCGAACGGACGAGAAGCUUGCUUUUCUGAUGUUAGCGGCGGACGGGUGAGUAACACGUGGAUAACCUACCUAUAAGACUGGGAUAACUUCGGGAAACCGGAGCUAAUACCGGAUAAUAUUUUGAACCGCAUGGUUCAAAAGUGAAAGACGGUCUUGCUGUCACUUAUAGAUGGAUCCGCGCUGCAUUAGCUAGUUGGUAAGGUAACGGCUUACCAAGGCAACGGUGCAUAGCCGACCUGAGAGGGUGAUCGGCCACACUGGAACUGAGACACGGUCCAGACUCCUACGGGAGGCAGCAGUAGGGAAUCUUCCGCAAUGGGCGAAAGCCUGACGGAGCAACGCCGCGUGAGUGAUGAAGGUCUUCGGAUCGUAAAACUCUGUUAUUAGGGAAGAACAUAUGUGUAAGUAACUGUGCACAUCUUGACGGUACCUAAUCAGAAAGCCACGGCUAACUACGUGCCAGCAGCCGCGGUAAUACGUAGGUGGCAAGCGUUAUCCGGAAUUAUUGGGCGUAAAGCGCGCGUAGGCGGUUUUUUAAGUCUGAUGUGAAAGCCCACGGCUCAACCGUGGAGGGUCAUUGGAAACUGGAAAACUUGAGUGCAGAAGAGGAAAGUGGAAUUCCAUGUGUAGCGGUGAAAUGCGCAGAGAUGUGGAGGAACACCAGUGGCGAAGGCGACUUUCUGGUCUGUAACUGACGCUGAUGUGCGAAAGCGUGGGGAUCAAACAGGAUUAGAUACCCUGGUAGUCCACGCCGUAAACGAUGAGUGCUAAGUGUUAGGGGGUUUCCGCCCCUUAGUGCUGCAGCUAACGCAUUAAGCACUCCGCCUGGGGAGUACGGCCGCAAGGUUGAAACUCAAAGGAAUUGACGGGGGCCCGCACAAGCGGUGGAGCAUGUGGUUUAAUUCGAAGCAACGCGAAGAACCUUACCAAAUCUUGACAUCCUUUGACAACUCUAGAGAUAGAGCCUUCCCCUUCGGGGGACAAAGUGACAGGUGGUGCAUGGUUGUCGUCAGCUCGUGUCGUGAGAUGUUGGGUUAAGUCCCGCAACGAGCGCAACCCUUAAGCUUAGUUGCCAUCAUUAAGUUGGGCACUCUAAGUUGACUGCCGGUGACAAACCGGAGGAAGGUGGGGAUGACGUCAAAUCAUCAUGCCCCUUAUGAUUUGGGCUACACACGUGCUACAAUGGACAAUACAAAGGGCAGCGAAACCGCGAGGUCAAGCAAAUCCCAUAAAGUUGUUCUCAGUUCGGAUUGUAGUCUGCAACUCGACUACAUGAAGCUGGAAUCGCUAGUAAUCGUAGAUCAGCAUGCUACGGUGAAUACGUUCCCGGGUCU